CUCAGAGUGAGUCCGCUCCGUUGACGGGUUUUAAACGCACUCUUCAUUCAAGCGCUGCGCAACUAAACCACAAACCAUUGCCACAGAAACGUGUUUGUGUGUGUGUGUGUG
Etheostoma cragini (Arkansas darter) is the source of this 111-nucleotide long non-coding RNA. RefSeq lists it as uncharacterized. The record is from RefSeq and is a predicted model, not a curated record. NCBI's taxonomy places the organism in Eukaryota, Metazoa, Chordata, Actinopteri, Perciformes, Percidae. The transcript is spliced from 3 exons.